UCUUUAUGCAGCUAAGGACAAGAAGGUC
This 28-nucleotide non-coding RNA is filed under the name Rattus norvegicus (Norway rat). Lineage: Eukaryota; Metazoa; Chordata; Mammalia; Rodentia; Muridae. The record is from RNAcentral.